Molecule: ribosomal RNA, 349 nt
Filed under: uncultured bacterium
Lineage: Bacteria
Description: bacterial SSU rRNA
Rfam family: Bacterial small subunit ribosomal RNA
Source: RNAcentral
GGGCCCGCACAAGCGGUGGAGUAUGUGGUUUAAUUCGAUGCAACGCGAAGAACCUUACCAGGGCUUGACAUCCUGCGAACCUCUGGGAAACCGGAGGGUGCCUUCGGGAACGCAGUGACAGGUGGUGCAUGGCUGUCGUCAGCUCGUGUCGUGAGAUGUUGGGUUAAGUCCCGCAACGAGCGCAACCCACGUCUUUAGUUGCCAGCAUUUAGUUGGGCACUCUAGAGAGACCGCCGGUGACAAACCGGAGGAAGGUGUGGAUGACGUCAAGUCAUCAUGCCCCUUACGUCCUGGGCUACACACGUACUACAAUGCUACGGACAAAGGGCAGCAAGUUCGCGAGGACAAG